GACGAACCGUGCGAACGUUGUUCGGAAUCACUGGGCUUAAAGGGCGCGUAGGCGGCCUAGCAAGUCCGGGGUGAAAGCCCCCGGCUCAACCGGGGAAGUGCCUUGGAAACUGCUGUGCUCGAGGGAGGUAGGGGUCGAGGGAACUUCUGGUGGAGCGGUGAAAUGCGCAGAUAUCAGGAGGAACACCGGUGGCGAAGGCGGGUCUCUGGGCCGUAACUGACGCUGAGGAGCGAAAGCGUGGGGAGCAAACAGG
RNAcentral lists this ribosomal RNA (253 nucleotides) under uncultured bacterium. RNAcentral's name for it is "partial 16S ribosomal RNA". It matches the Rfam family "Bacterial small subunit ribosomal RNA", at positions 524 to 776 of the family's 1533-position model. The record is from RNAcentral.